CUGCUGCCUUCCGUAGGAGUCUGGUCCGUGUUUCAGUACCAGUGUGGGGGACCUUCCUCUCAGAACCCCUAGACAUCGUCGCCUUGGUGGGCCGUUGCCCCGCCAACUAGCUAAUGCACGCAUGCCCAUCCGUUAGCCGGAAUCGCUUCCUUUAACCGGCG
RNAcentral lists this ribosomal RNA (161 nucleotides) under uncultured bacterium. RNAcentral describes it as "partial 16S ribosomal RNA". The record is from RNAcentral.